AGUGAACGCUGUCGGUAGGCCUAACACAUGCAAGUCGAACGGCAGCACAGUAAGAGCUUGCUCUUACGGGUGGCGAGUGGCGGACGGGUGAGGAAUACAUCGGAAUCUACUUUUUCGUGGGGGAUAACGUAGGGAAACUUACGCUUAUACCGCAUACGACCUACGGGUGAAAGCAGGGGAUCUUCGGACCUUGCGCGAUUGAAUGAGCCGAUGUCGGAUUAGCUAGUUGGCGGGGUAAAGGCCCACCAAGGCGACGAUCCGUAGCUGGUCUGAGAGGAUGAUCAGCCACACUGGAACUGAGACACGGUCCAGACUCCUACGGGAGGCAGCAGUGGGGAAUAUUGGACAAUGGGCGCAAGCCUGAUCCAGCCAUACCGCGUGGGUGAAGAAGGCCUUCGGGUUGUAAAGCCCUUUUGUUGGGAAAGAAAAGCAGCAGGUUAAUACCCCGCUGUUCUGACGGUACCCAAAGAAUAAGCACCGGCUAACUUCGUG
Molecule: ribosomal RNA, 492 nt
Filed under: uncultured bacterium
Lineage: Bacteria
Description: partial 16S ribosomal RNA
Rfam family: Bacterial small subunit ribosomal RNA
Source: RNAcentral